This 497-nucleotide ribosomal RNA is filed under the name uncultured bacterium. Its description in RNAcentral is "partial 16S ribosomal RNA". It matches the Rfam family "Bacterial small subunit ribosomal RNA", at positions 28 to 507 of the family's 1533-position model. The record is from RNAcentral.
GAUGAACGCUGGCGGCGUGCCUAAUACAUGCAAGUCGAGCGAACAGACGAGGAGCUUGCUCCUCUGACGUUAGCGGCGGACGGGUGAGUAACACGUGGAUAACCUACCUAUAAGACUGGGAUAACUUCGGGAAACCGGAGCUAAUACCGGAUAAUAUAUUGAUCCGCAUGGUUCAAUAGUGAAAGACGGUUUUGCUGUCACUUAUAGAUGGAUCCGCGCCGCAUUAGCUAGUUGGUAAGGUAACGGCUUACCAAGGCAACGAUGCGUAGCCGACCUGAGAGGGUGAUCGGCCACACUGGAACUGAGACACGGUCCAGACUCCUACGGGAGGCAGCAGUAGGGAAUCUUCCGCAAUGGGCGAAAGCCUGACGGAGCAACGCCGCGUGAGUGAUGAAGGUCUUCGGAUCGUAAAACUCUGUUAUUAGGGAAGAACAAAUGUGUAAGUAACUAUGCACGUCUUGACGGUACCUAAUCAGAAAGCCACGGCUAACUACGUG